UGAGGAAUAUUGCGCAAUGGGGGCAACCCUGACGCAGCGACGCCGCGUGAGUGAGGAAGGCCUUCGGGUCGUAAAGCUCUGUCAAAGGGAAAGAAGUGCAUGGUGGCUAAUACCUGCCAUGUUUGACGGUACCCUUAAAGGAAGCACCGGCUAACUCCGUGCCAGCAGCCGCGGUAAUACGGAGGGUGCAAGCGUUGUUCGGAAUCACUGGGCGUAAAGGGCGCGUAGGCGGUUUGAUAAGUCAGAGGUGAAAGCCCACGGCUUAACUGGGGAAUGGCAUUUGAAACUGUCAGACUUGAGUAUCGGAGGGGAAAGUGGAAUUCCCGGUGUAGAGGUGAAAUGCGUAGAUAUCGGGAGGAAUACCGGUGGCGAAGGCGACUUGCUGGCUGAAUACUGACGCUGAGGCGCGAAAGCGUGGGGAGCAAACA
RNAcentral lists this ribosomal RNA (428 nucleotides) under uncultured prokaryote. Its description in RNAcentral is "bacterial SSU rRNA". It matches the Rfam family "Bacterial small subunit ribosomal RNA", at positions 355 to 774 of the family's 1533-position model. The record is from RNAcentral.